RNAcentral lists this ribosomal RNA (487 nucleotides) under uncultured bacterium. RNAcentral describes it as "partial 16S ribosomal RNA". It matches the Rfam family "Bacterial small subunit ribosomal RNA", at positions 355 to 834 of the family's 1533-position model. The record is from RNAcentral.
UAGGGAAUCUUCCACAAUGGACGAAAGUCUGAUGGAGCAACGCCGCGUGAGUGAAGAAGGUUUUCGGAUCGUAAAGCUCUGUUGUUGGUGAAGAAGGAUAGAGGCAGUAACUGGUCUUUAUUUGACGGUAAUCAACCAGAAAGUCACGGCUAACUACGUGCCAGCAGCCGCGGUAAUACGUAGGUGGCAAGCGUUGUCCGGAUUUAUUGGGCGUAAAGCGAGCGCAGGCGGAAUGAUAAGUCUGAUGUGAAAGCCCACGGCUCAACCGUGGAACUGCAUCGGAAACUGUCAUUCUUGAGUGCAGAAGAGGAGAGUGGAACUCCAUGUGUAGCGGUGGAAUGCGUAGAUAUAUGGAAGAACACCAGUGGCGAAGGCGGCUCUCUGGUCUGCAACUGACGCUGAGGCUCGAAAGCAUGGGUAGCGAACAGGAUUAGAUACCCUGGUAGUCCAUGCCGUAAACGAUGAGCGCUAGGUGUUGGGGCACUUU